Molecule: transfer RNA, 99 nt
Rfam family: tRNA
About the family: Transfer RNA (tRNA) molecules are approximately 80 nucleotides in length. Their secondary structure includes four short double-helical elements and three loops (D, anti-codon, and T loops).
Source: Rfam
GGUCGCGUGGCGAAAUGGCAUCGCGUCUGACUACGAUUAUGUCUUCGGACACAUCGUAACUCAAUCAGGAGAUCGCGGGUUCGACCCCCGUCGUGACCU